GGUUAAGGCACCUGAUGCCGAUGCUCAUCAGACCCCAGAAAAGGUGUUGGUUGAUAUAGACAGCAGGAUGGUGGCCAUGGAAGUUGGAAUCCAUGAAGGAGUAUGUAACAACUCACCUGCCAAAUCAACUAGCCCUGAAAAUGGAUGGCACUGGAGCGUCAGGUCCAUACC
This 171-nucleotide non-coding RNA is filed under the name Chelonia mydas (Green sea turtle). RNAcentral's name for it is "Eukaryotic large subunit ribosomal RNA". It matches the Rfam family "Eukaryotic large subunit ribosomal RNA", at positions 1178 to 1348 of the family's 3401-position model. Lineage: Eukaryota; Metazoa; Chordata; Testudines; Cheloniidae. The record is from Rfam by way of RNAcentral.